UGCUAUGGCUCACAUACUUCCAGGC
Molecule: non-coding RNA, 25 nt
Filed under: Mus musculus (house mouse)
Lineage: Eukaryota; Metazoa; Chordata; Mammalia; Rodentia; Muridae
Source: RNAcentral